Long non-coding RNA from Sebastes umbrosus (honeycomb rockfish), 343 nucleotides. RefSeq lists it as uncharacterized. The record is from RefSeq and is a predicted model, not a curated record. The transcript has 3 exons. NCBI's taxonomy places the organism in Eukaryota, Metazoa, Chordata, Actinopteri, Perciformes, Sebastidae.
GCGGUUGGCUUGCUGAGCACCAUGAGCUGGAUCCACUGGGAGACGCUGUUGAAAAGCGUGAUGAAACGCUCCAGGAUGGGGUUAUCCACUGUGCAGCCGUGCAUCACGAAGCUGUGGUAGUCCUGAAACUAAAAGGAGUUACGACUCGAUCUGGUGGUGAAAUAGGAGAUAAAGGAAGUCACUGGAUAUUUUUGCUUCGUUGCUGAUAAGAAAGAGUUUGAAGGGUCCCAUGCUCUGGGUGAGGAGGUGAUGACAGUUUGUGGAGUUGAGCACCGAGAUGAGAAGCGUUACAUCACCAGCACCAGCACCAGCAGCAGCAUCGAUGAUCGAAACCCAAGAAGUC